Molecule: ribosomal RNA, 207 nt
Filed under: uncultured bacterium
Lineage: Bacteria
Description: partial 16S ribosomal RNA
Rfam family: Bacterial small subunit ribosomal RNA
Source: RNAcentral
CGCGUAGGCGGUUUGGCAAGUCUGACGUGAAAUGUACCGGUUCAACCGGGGCGCUGUGUCAGAAACUGCCUUACUUGAGGUCGAGGGAGGAGAGUGGAAUUCCUGGUGUAGCGGUGAAAUGCGUAGAUAUCAGGAGGAACACCCGUGGCGAAGGCGGCUCUCUAUCUCGAUUCUGACGCUGAGGCGCGAAAGCUAGGGGAGCAAACG